RNAcentral lists this long non-coding RNA (878 nucleotides) under Chinchilla lanigera (long-tailed chinchilla). Its description in RNAcentral is "lncRNA (ENSCLAG00000024547.1)". Lineage: Eukaryota; Metazoa; Chordata; Mammalia; Rodentia; Chinchillidae. The record is from RNAcentral.
CCUUUUACCUGCUGGGUAUAAUCAUGUCUCACUUACCUGCUUUCUUUGCUUCUAAAGAAGCUUUUUGAAGAUUAGAUAGGACUUUUGUAAGUACGACAAAGCUCCUUUCUUUAAAUGUUACCAUCUGCCUGCAGGAAAAUCACAGUUUUUUUCCUUGCAGAAUAUAUCUCAAAGUUAUAGGAGAAAGAAAAGGUGAUAAUGUGAAAUGGAAUUACUUGCAGUCCUUUACUACCCUUGCACAGUCAUUUUGUGCCUCUUCUUGCAGUUUGAGAGCACAGGAUUCUUAACAAACUAAUAGCUCUCAGUGCCAAUAAAGUUAGGAACGACUUGCUGUUUGAUGUUGCUUGAAACAUCAGUUAUUCCAAACAGGACGUGACUGAUCUCUCAGUGUCAGUUACAUGUGAGAGUCCCCUGACAUGCAUAGUUUGGAGACGGAGUGGGAUUCGGGAUUGGUUUUCCGGCCCCGUGUAGAGAACACUCUGAGUGAUGUACUCGCUGUACUCCCCGACCUACUCCUUCCACUCUUGCAUCACCUCUGUCCAGUCUGCUCCAGCUUCUGCCUAGUGCUAAAAAUGGGAAGGAAAAAAAAUCACCAUUAGGAAGAUGAACCAUGAACUUUUAAAAAGAAAGCAGAUUAUCUAAAAAUAGAGCAUCCCUCUGGGAGUGACUUUACGGGGUCUUCAUUCAGAAGCAUAUUAUUCACCUGCACUCUUUGCCCUGAUAGCUCUCCCUUGAAAUGUCACCCUUUCCUGGUCCCUAAGAGUCACUCUGCAUACUCCUUCCCUGCAGCCUCCCUCCCCUCCUUCCCUAACUCUGAACUAUUGUCCUUUGCCAUAGAUGCUUCUCCCCUACACUCUGACUAUAAAAAUACAGUGAGA